AUUGAACGCUGGCGGCAGGCCUAACACAUGCAAGUCGAGCGGAUGAAGGGAGCUUGCUCCUGGAUCCAGCGGCGGACGGGUGAGUAAUGCCUAGGAAUCUGCCUGGUAGUGGGGGAUAACGUCCGGAAACGGGCGCUAAUACCGCAUACGUCCUGCGGGUGAAAGUGGGGGAUCUUCGGACCUCACGCUAUCAGAUGAGCCUAGGUCGGAUUAGCUAGUUGGUGGGGUAAAGGCCUACCAAGGCGACGAUCCGUAACUGGUCUGAGAGGAUGAUCAGUCACACUGGAACUGAGACACGGUCCAGACUCCUACGGGAGGCAGCAGUGGGGAAUGUUGGACAAUGGGCGAAAGCCUGGUCCAGCCAUGCCACGUGUGUGAAGAAGGUCUUCGGAUUGUAAAGCACGUUAAGUUGGGAGGAAGGGCAGUAAGUUAAUACCUUGCUGUUUUGACGUUACCAACAGAAUAAGCACCGGCUAACUUCGUG
RNAcentral lists this ribosomal RNA (484 nucleotides) under uncultured bacterium. Its description in RNAcentral is "partial 16S ribosomal RNA". It matches the Rfam family "Bacterial small subunit ribosomal RNA", at positions 30 to 507 of the family's 1533-position model. The record is from RNAcentral.